AUGCUUGACUCAAAGAUUAAGCCAUGCAUGUGCAUGUGCAUACCUAUACACGGUGAGACCGCGAAUGGCUCAUUAGAUCAGUCGUUGUUCCUUAGACGGAAGGUGCUACUUGGAUAACUGUGGCAAUUCUAGAGCUAAUACAUGCGAGAAAGCUCCGACCUUCGGGGAAGAGCGCAGUUAUUAGAUCAAGACCAACCGGGUCGAAAGGCCCGCAAGUCUGGUGACUCUGGAUAACCUCAGGCUGACCGCAUGGCCUCCGAGCCGGCGGCGCAUCUUUCAAGUGUCUGCCCUAUCAACUUUCGAUGGUAUGCGAUCUGCUUACCAUGGUGGUGACGGGUAACGGGGAAUCAGGGUUCGAUUCCGGAGAGGGAGCAUGAGAAACGGCUACCACCUCCAAGGAAGGCAGCAGGCGCGCAAAUUACCCACUCCUGGCACAGGGAGGUAGUGACGAGCAAUAACGACCCGGGACUCUUUCGAGGCCUCGGGAUCGGAAUGAGUAUAAUCUAAACACUUUAGCGAGGAACAAUUGGAGGGCAAGUCUGGUGCCAGCAGCCGCGGUAAUUCCAGCUCCAAUAGCGUAUAUUAAAGCUGUUGCAGUUAAAAAGCUCGUAGCUGAAUCUCGGGUCCAGGCGGGCAGUCCGCCUCGCGGCGAGUACGGCCCGUUUCCUGACCCAACUGCCGGUAUUCUCGGGGUGCUCUUGAUUGAGUGUUUCGGGUGGCCGGCACGUUUACUUUGAAAAAAUUAGAGUGCUCAAAGCAGGCCAGCGAGCCUGAAUACUAUAGCAUGGAAUAAUGAAAUAGGACCUCGGUGCUAUUUUGUUGGUCUCCGGUGCUCGAGGUAAUGAUUAAGAGGGACGGACGGGGGCAUUCGUAUUGCGGGGCGAGAGGUGAAAUUCUUGGACCCUCGCAAGACGAACAACCGCGAAAGCAUUUGCCAAGAAUGUUUUCCUUAGUCAAGAACGAAAGUCAGAGGUUGGAAGACGAUCAGAUACCGUCCUAGUUCUGACCAUAAACGAUGCCAACUAGCGAUGCGCGGGCGUUGUUGUCUGACCUCGCGCGCAGCUC
Molecule: ribosomal RNA, 1065 nt
Filed under: Leitoscoloplos robustus
Lineage: Eukaryota; Metazoa; Annelida; Polychaeta; Orbiniidae
Description: SSU rRNA
Rfam family: Eukaryotic small subunit ribosomal RNA
Source: RNAcentral